This 253-nucleotide ribosomal RNA is filed under the name uncultured bacterium. RNAcentral describes it as "partial 16S ribosomal RNA". It matches the Rfam family "Bacterial small subunit ribosomal RNA", at positions 524 to 776 of the family's 1533-position model. The record is from RNAcentral.
GACAGAGGGUGCAAACGUUGUUCGGAAUUACUGGGCGUAAAGCGUGUGUAGGCGGUCCACUAAGUCGGGUGUGAAAGCCCUGGGCUCAACCCAGGAAGUGCACUCGAAACUGGCGGGCUUGAGUAUCGGAGAGGUUGGUGGAAUUCUCGGUGUAGAGGUGAAAUUCGUAGAUAUCGAGAGGAACACCGGUGGCGAAGGCGGCCAACUGGACGAAUACUGACGCUGAGACACGAAAGCUAGGGGAGCAAACGGG